RNAcentral lists this ribosomal RNA (245 nucleotides) under uncultured Rubellimicrobium sp. RNAcentral's name for it is "partial 16S ribosomal RNA". It matches the Rfam family "Bacterial small subunit ribosomal RNA", at positions 524 to 768 of the family's 1533-position model. The record is from RNAcentral. Lineage: Bacteria; Pseudomonadati; Pseudomonadota; Alphaproteobacteria; Rhodobacterales; Roseobacteraceae.
UACGGAGGGGGUUAGCGUUGUUCGGAAUGACUGGGCGUAAAGCGCGCGUAGGCGGAUCGCAAAGUUGGGGGUGAAAGCCCAGGGCUCAACCCUGGAAUUGCCUUCAAGACUCGCGGUCUGGAGUUCGAGAGAGGUGGGUGGAAUUCCGAGUGUAGAGGUGAAAUUCGUAGAUAUUCGGAGGAACACCAGUGGCGAAGGCGGCCCACUGGCUCGACACUGACGCUGAGGCGCGAAAGCGCGGGGAG